Molecule: ribosomal RNA, 446 nt
Filed under: uncultured bacterium
Lineage: Bacteria
Description: partial 16S ribosomal RNA
Rfam family: Bacterial small subunit ribosomal RNA
Source: RNAcentral
CCUACGGGUGGCAGCAGUCGAGAAUCAUUCACAAUGGGGGAAACCCUGAUGGUGCGACGCCGCGUGGGGGACUGAAGGUCUUCGGAUUGUAAACCCCUUUCAUGUGGGAGAAAAUUAAAAAAAUAGAACCACAAGAUGAAGAGACGGCUAACUUUGUGCCAGCAGCCGCGGUAAUACAGAGGUCUCAAGCUUUGUUCGGAAUCACUGGGCGUAAAGCGUGCGUAGGCGGUUGCGUAAGUCGUGUGUGAAAUGCGCGGGCUCAACCCGAGGACGGCACGUGAUACUGCGAGACUAGAGUAAUGGAGGGGAAACCGGAAGUCUCGGUGUAGCAGUGAAAUGCGUAGAUAUCGAGAGGAACACUCGUGGCGAAGGCGGGUUCCUGGACAUUAACUGACGCUGAGGCACGAAGGCCAGGGGAGCGAAAGGGAUUAGAUACCCUUGUAGUC